GCCGUCGUGGCACAGCGGCACAAGUGUGUGACUGAAACGCAACGAUUAUGGGUUCGAUUCCCACUCGACGAAG
This 73-nucleotide transfer RNA is filed under the name Heliconius melpomene (postman butterfly). RNAcentral describes it as "tRNA HMEL011129". Lineage: Eukaryota; Metazoa; Arthropoda; Insecta; Lepidoptera; Nymphalidae. The record is from RNAcentral.